This 429-nucleotide ribosomal RNA is filed under the name Bacillus amyloliquefaciens. RNAcentral's name for it is "bacterial SSU rRNA". It matches the Rfam family "Bacterial small subunit ribosomal RNA", at positions 173 to 591 of the family's 1533-position model. The record is from RNAcentral. Lineage: Bacteria; Bacillati; Bacillota; Bacilli; Caryophanales; Bacillaceae.
GUUGUUUGACCGCAUGGUUCAGACAUAAAAGGUGGCUUCGGCUACCACUUACAGAUGGACCCGCGGCGCAUUAGCUAGUUGGUGAGGUAACGGCUCACCAAGGCGACGAUGCGUAGCCGACCUGAGAGGGUGAUCGGCCACACUGGGACUGAGACACGGCCCAGACUCCUACGGGAGGCAGCAGUAGGGAAUCUUCCGCAAUGGACGAAAGUCUGACGGAGCAACGCCGCGUGAGUGAUGAAGGUUUUCGGAUCGUAAAGCUCUGUUGUUAGGGAAGAACAAGUGCCGUUCAAAUAGGGCGGCACCUUGACGGUACCUAACCAGAAAGCCACGGCUAACUACGUGCCAGCAGCCGCGGUAAUACGUAGGUGGCAAGCGUUGUCCGGAAUUAUUGGGCGUAAAGGGCUCGCAGGCGGUUUCUUAAUUCUG